CAGCCGCCGCGGUAAUACGGAGGGCGCGAGCGUUGUCCGGAUUCACUGGGCGUAAAGCGGGUGUAGGCGGUCGGGUAAGUCGGGUGUGAAAUCCCACGGCUCAACCGUGGAAUUGCGCCCGAAACUGCCGAGCUUGGGGCCGGUAGAGGGAGACGGAACUGCCGGUGUAGGGGUGAAAUCCGUAGAUAUCGGCAGGAACGCCGGUGGGGAAGCCGGUCUCCUGGGCCGCGCCCGACGCUGAGGCCCGAAAGCUAGGGGAGCAAACCGGAUUAGAUACCCGGGUAGUCCUAGCCGUAAACGAUGCCCACUAGGUGUGGGGGAGUAUUUCCUCCGUGCUGGAGCUAACGCGUUAAGUGGGCCGCCUGGGGAGUACGCCCGCAAGGGUGAAACUUAAAGGAAUUGGCGGG
This 407-nucleotide ribosomal RNA is filed under the name uncultured microorganism. RNAcentral describes it as "bacterial SSU rRNA". It matches the Rfam family "Bacterial small subunit ribosomal RNA", at positions 509 to 917 of the family's 1533-position model. The record is from RNAcentral.